CCUAGGGAGGUAGAAGUGGGGAAGAGUGCACAACGGGGGAAACCCGGAGGCAGUGACGACGCGUGAGUGAAGAAGUAUUUCGGUAUGUAAAGCUCUAUCAGCAGGGAAGAAAAUGACGGUACCUGAUUAAGAAGCCCCGGCUAACUACGUGCCAGCAGCCGCGGUAAUACGUAGGGGGCAAGCGUUAACCGGAUUUACUGGGUGUAAAGGGAGCGUAGACGGUGAUGCAAGGCAGAAGUGAAAGCCCGGGGCUCAACUCCGGGACUGCUUUUGAAACUGUGUGACUGGAGUGCAGGAGAGGUAAGCGGAAUUCCUGGUGUAGCGGUGAAAUGCGUAGAUAUCAGGAGGAAUACCAGUGGCGAAGGCGGCUUACUGGACUGUAACUGACGUUGAGGCUCGAAAGCGUGGGGAGCAAACAGGAUUAGAUACCCUUGUAGUC
RNAcentral lists this ribosomal RNA (439 nucleotides) under uncultured bacterium. Its description in RNAcentral is "partial 16S ribosomal RNA". It matches the Rfam family "Bacterial small subunit ribosomal RNA", at positions 338 to 795 of the family's 1533-position model. The record is from RNAcentral.